UAGGGAAUCUUCGGCAAUGGACGAAAGUCUGACCGCGCAACGCCGCGUGAGUGAAGAAGGUUUUCGGAUCGUAAAACUCUGUUGUUAGAGAAGAACAAGGACGUUAGUAACUGAACGUCCCCUGACGGUAUCUAACCAGAAAGCCACGGCUAACUCCGUGCCAGCAGCCGCGGUAAUACGGAGGGUGCAAGCGUUAAUCGGAAUUACUGGGCGUAAAGCGCACGCAGGCGGUUGAUUGAGUCAGAUGUGAAAUCCCCGGGCUUAACCCGGGAAUUGCAUCUGAUGCUGGUCAGCUAGAGUAGUGUAGAGGGGGGUAGAAGUCCAUGUGUAGCGGUGAAAUGCGGAGAGAUGUGGAGGAAUACCGGUGGCGAAGGCGGCCCCCUGGACAAAGACUGACGCUCAGGUGCGAAGGCGUGGGGAGCAAACAGG
Molecule: ribosomal RNA, 429 nt
Filed under: Chloroflexota bacterium
Lineage: Bacteria; Bacillati; Chloroflexota
Description: Chloroflexi bacterium partial 16S ribosomal RNA
Rfam family: Bacterial small subunit ribosomal RNA
Source: RNAcentral